Long non-coding RNA from Myotis brandtii (Brandt's bat), 177 nucleotides. RefSeq lists it as uncharacterized. The record is from RefSeq and is a predicted model, not a curated record. The transcript is spliced from 4 exons. NCBI's taxonomy places the organism in Eukaryota, Metazoa, Chordata, Mammalia, Chiroptera, Vespertilionidae.
UAGAUUUAAAUGAUUUUCUAUCAUUUUUUUUUUUUUGUUUUUUUUUUUGAGGUAGACCUCUAGUGCUAUGAACUUUCCCUUAAGGACUGCUUUCAUUGAGUCUCCCAGAUUUUGGAUUUUUGUGUUUUCAUUUUCAUUUCUUUUCAGGAUGUUUUUUAUUCCUUCUUUGAUCUCUUU